GACGAACCGAGCGAACGUUGUUCGGAAUCACUGGGCUUAAAGGGCGCGUAGGCGGGCUGUCAAGUCUGGGGUGAAAUCCCGCGGCUCAACCGUGGAACUGCCUCAGAUACUGACGGUCUCGAGGGAGGUAGGGGCGAGCGGAACUGAUGGUGGAGCGGUGAAAUGCGUUGAUAUCAUCAGGAACUCCGGUGGCGAAGGCGGCUCGCUGGGACGUUACUGACGCUGAGACGCGAAAGCGUGGGGAGCAAACAGG
This 253-nucleotide ribosomal RNA is filed under the name uncultured bacterium. RNAcentral describes it as "partial 16S ribosomal RNA". It matches the Rfam family "Bacterial small subunit ribosomal RNA", at positions 524 to 776 of the family's 1533-position model. The record is from RNAcentral.